GGGAGGCAGCAGUGAGGAAUAUUGGUCAAUGGGCGAGAGCCUGAACCAGCCAAGUAGCGUGAAGGAUGACUGCCUAUGGGUUGUAAACUUCUUUUAUAAAGGAAUAAGUCGGGUAUGCAUACCCGUUUGCAUGUACUUUAUGAAUAAGGAUCGGCUAACUCCGUGCCAGCAGCCGCGGUAAUACGGAGGAUCCGAGCGUUAUCCGGAUUUAUUGGGUUUAAAGGGAGCGUAGAUGGAUGUUUAAGUCAGUUGUGAAAGUUUGCGGCUCAACCGUAAAAUUGCAGUUGAUACUGGAUAUCUUGAGUG
This 306-nucleotide ribosomal RNA is filed under the name uncultured bacterium. RNAcentral describes it as "bacterial SSU rRNA". It matches the Rfam family "Bacterial small subunit ribosomal RNA", at positions 343 to 648 of the family's 1533-position model. The record is from RNAcentral.